Small nucleolar RNA from Dendrobium catenatum, 93 nucleotides. RefSeq annotates it as small nucleolar RNA Z266. The transcript has a single exon. The record is from RefSeq and is a predicted model, not a curated record. Lineage: Eukaryota; Viridiplantae; Streptophyta; Magnoliopsida; Asparagales; Orchidaceae.
AGUUGACAAGAAUGAUGAAUCAAUUAGAUGUGUGAGGCUGUUAGUCUCAUGAACUGAACCUUUGAGGCAUAGAAUAUUAUUUCUGACUCUGUU